GGGGCACUAGCUCAGUAGGCAGAGCGCAAGACUUUUAAUCUUGUGGUCAUGGGUUCGAUCCCCAUGUGCCCUA
This 73-nucleotide transfer RNA is filed under the name Methanobacteriota archaeon. Its description in RNAcentral is "Euryarchaeota archaeon tRNA-Lys". It matches the Rfam family "tRNA". Rfam says of the family: Transfer RNA (tRNA) molecules are approximately 80 nucleotides in length. Their secondary structure includes four short double-helical elements and three loops (D, anti-codon, and T loops). Lineage: Archaea; Methanobacteriati; Methanobacteriota. The record is from RNAcentral.